This 483-nucleotide ribosomal RNA is filed under the name uncultured bacterium. RNAcentral describes it as "bacterial SSU rRNA". It matches the Rfam family "Bacterial small subunit ribosomal RNA", at positions 29 to 524 of the family's 1533-position model. The record is from RNAcentral.
ACGAACGCUGGCGGCGUGCUUAACACAUGCAAGUCGAACGGAAAGGCCCUAGCUUGCUAGGGUGCUCGAGUGGCGAACGGGUGAGUAACACGUGGGUGAUCUGCCUUGUACUCUGGGAUAAGCUUGGGAAACUGGGUCUAAUACCGGAUAGGAACUGCCUUUAGUGUGGUGGUUGGAAAGUUUUUUCGGUGCAAGAUGAGCUCGCGGCCUAUCAGCUUGUUGGUGGGGUAAUGGCCUACCAAGGCGUCGACGGGUAGCCGGCCUGAGAGGGUGUACGGCCACAUUGGGACUGAGAUACGGCCCAGACUCCUACGGGAGGCAGCAGUGGGGAAUAUUGCACAAUGGGCGGAAGCCUGAUGCAGCGACGCCGCGUGGGGGAUGACGGCCUUCGGGUUGUAAACUCCUUUCGACAGGGACGAAGCUUUUUGUGACGGUACCUGUAUAAGAAGCACCGGCUAACUACGUGCCAGCAGCCGCGGUAAU